CCUUAUUAAGAGCGAGGGAGGGAAUGGGCCCUGUGAACUCGCGGCAACCCGGUCAGAAGAUGCGGGUGCCAAAUCCCACGGAGAACGCUCCGGCAGAUGAGG
RNAcentral lists this non-coding RNA (102 nucleotides) under bovine gut metagenome. Its description in RNAcentral is "SAM riboswitch (S box leader)". It matches the Rfam family "SAM riboswitch aptamer (S box leader)". From Rfam's summary of the family: The SAM riboswitch is found upstream of a number of genes which code for proteins involved in methionine or cysteine biosynthesis in Gram-positive bacteria. The SAM riboswitch acts at the level of transcription termination control. The record is from RNAcentral.